UGGAGGAUGAGAUCGAACACUUUAGCCAUAAGCAUCAUUUACGACUAAAGAAUAAGAAAGUCCUAUGGAUUUAAUGCACAUUGCGCUGCAUGUUCGGGUUAUCUCUCUGGCGUCUUCUAUUCUUGCAACGAUUGUCGGUAUUAUCUUCAUACAGAAUGUGCCAAGUUGGAGGGUGAGAUCGAACACUCGCACCAUCCAUUUCAAUCUCUAAAGCUGCAGGCUAUUGUAGAUGAUGGGGAUUUCUAUUGCAAUGUGUGUCAUAAGUUGUAGCAUUCCGUGAGUUUAAAAAAAAAAAAAAAAAAAAAGUCAGAAUUUUGUGGACCACAAAUGCCCCCACCUAACCCCACUACCCAUCAUUCUCAUCCACUCAAUUUCACCCACAUCUCCUCUCUCUUUUGGCUGGCUCUCUCCUUUCUUUCUUUCUUUCUUUCAUUUUCUCUCUUUUCUUUUCAUUUUGCUGAAACACAUACACACUCACCCGCCAACCUCUACUCCAAAAUAUACUAUCUCACCAUCAUUUUUCCAGCAAGAUCACUGGAAAAAUACUUAGGAACUCCAAAGCAUCUUCAUUAUUUUAUUUGAGGUUCUAGCUAAUCUCCUCUUGGAGCUUGGAGAAUUAGGAUUUUGCGGUUACGAGAGUAGGCAACAAUCUUUUGAGACAGCUUUUUUUAGUGGCUAAUAGUAGUUAGACUAACUACUGAUGGAGGCUGAAUUUUUGUAAUGGAUAUAUUAGAUGUUGUACAUCUUAGACUAGGUUUGACUCAUUCUUUUGUAUAUUAUAGUGGUUAUGACUGUAUUUCCACUGAUGGGACAAGCUGUUGUUAUGUAAUAGUUUUAUUCAAACCUCUAUUCUUUUGUGGCCUAUGGUCCUUGUAAUUAAUGCUUAGAGCUCUGACUUACUUUGAAAGUAUAUUCUAUGGGAUUAUUAUGAUAA
Long non-coding RNA from Quercus robur (English oak), 934 nucleotides. RefSeq lists it as uncharacterized. The record is from RefSeq and is a predicted model, not a curated record. NCBI's taxonomy places the organism in Eukaryota, Viridiplantae, Streptophyta, Magnoliopsida, Fagales, Fagaceae. The transcript is spliced from 3 exons.